RNAcentral lists this ribosomal RNA (471 nucleotides) under Triticum aestivum (bread wheat). Its description in RNAcentral is "partial small subunit ribosomal RNA". The record is from RNAcentral. Lineage: Eukaryota; Viridiplantae; Streptophyta; Magnoliopsida; Poales; Poaceae.
AUGGAAAAGUUACAUGAUGCUGGCAAAGUUCGCGUGAUUGUUGUGAGUAACUUCUCAUCAAAGAAGUUGGGUGACUUGCUUUCUGUAGCUCGUGUACCUCCUGCUGUUAAUCAGGUGGAAUGUCAUCCUGGUUGGCAGCAAACUAAGCUCCACAACUUUUGUCAGUCAACUGGAGUUCAUCUUAGUGCUUACUCACCACUAGGUUCACCUGGUAAUGUCCUCAAAGAACCAAUAAUCAUCUCAAUAGCUGAGAAACUCGGAAAGACAACUGGACAGGUGGCUCUGCUCUGGAACAUUCAGAUGGGUCACAGUGUACUACCAAAGAGCACAAAUCAAGAAAGGAUAAAGAAAAACCUGGAUGUUUACGAUUGCACAAUUCAAGAUGAUUGGACAAUUCAAGAGAUUAAGCAGGCUAGGCUGCUCAGAGGCGACUUCAUGAUUAACCCACAGAGCGUUUACAAGACCCACUAG